Molecule: ribosomal RNA, 563 nt
Filed under: uncultured bacterium
Lineage: Bacteria
Description: bacterial SSU rRNA
Rfam family: Bacterial small subunit ribosomal RNA
Source: RNAcentral
AACGGUAACAGGAAGCAGCUUGCUGCUUUGCUGACGAGUGGCGGACGGGUGAGUAAUGUCUGGGAAACUGCCCGAUGGAGGGGGAUAACUACUGGAAACGGUAGCUAAUACCGCAUAACGUCGCAAGACCAAAGAGGGGGGACCUUAGGGCCUCUUGCCAUCGGAUGUGCCCAGAUGGGAUUAGCUAGUAGGUGGGGUAACGGCUCACCUAGGCGACGAUCCCUAGCUGGUCUGAGAGGAUGACCAGCCACACUGGAACUGAGACACGGUCCAGACUCCUACGGGAGGCAGCAGUGGGGAAUAUUGCACAAUGGGCGCAAGCCUGAUGCAGCCAUGCCGCGUGUAUGAAGAAGGCCUUCGGGUUGUAAAGUACUUUCAGCGGGGAGGAAGGGAGUAAAGUUAAUACCUUUGCUCAUUGACGUUACCCGCAGAAGAAGCACCGGCUAACUCCGUGCCAGCAGCCGCGGUAAUACGGAGGGUGCAAGCGUUAAUCGGAAUUACUGGGCGUAAAGCGCACGCAGGCGGUUUGUUAAGUCAGAUGUGAAAUCCCCGGGCUCAACCUG